AUCACUCUACUAUGAAAAGUUAUAAAAUGGUCAUCCAAUUAUUUAAUUUUAUCUUUUGGUCAUCCAAUUGUCUUGAAAUUUUUGGUGUUUUCAUUUUUACUUUAGUCAGCUAAUGAUCAAAAAGACAAAAUUAAAUAAUUAGGUAAUCAUUUUGUAAUUUUUCAUUGUUGGAUAAUCAAAAAAGAAAAAAAGAACAUAGGUGAA
This 204-nucleotide microRNA precursor is filed under the name Gossypium raimondii (Peruvian cotton). RNAcentral describes it as "miR8743a stem-loop (gra-MIR8743a)". Lineage: Eukaryota; Viridiplantae; Streptophyta; Magnoliopsida; Malvales; Malvaceae. The record is from miRBase by way of RNAcentral.